Molecule: long non-coding RNA, 485 nt
Filed under: Rattus norvegicus (Norway rat)
Lineage: Eukaryota; Metazoa; Chordata; Mammalia; Rodentia; Muridae
Description: long non-coding RNA NONRATT024788
Source: RNAcentral
GAGCGCGAGCGGAGGCGAUGGCCCGGGUCCGGGCCUAGCCCGGUGCUCCGAGAGCAGGCUGGACUGACGGCCGUUCCCCACUCGGCUGGGCGCAGAGCGGCCUUACCUGGGGCGAAGGUGGAAGGCAAGGUCUCGCGGGCUUGCCCGCCGCACAGCCGCCCGCGGCCCCCGGCUUUCUCCCGAGACGCGACACCGCCUCCGCCGCCGCUUCGCCCUCGGGGGCUCGGCCACCGCCGCCGCCCGAGCUGUUUACACCGUCCGGCCCCUCACGCCGCCGCCGCCGCCUUCUCUCCAACCCAGCGCCGCUGCCGACUCGGCCGCCGCCACCUCCUCCGCCGCAGCCUGAUCUCUCUGGAGCAUCUUCCAGCCACCGGACACAGAGAAACAGAGACUCCAGCCGCGCCGGCAGGAAACUCCCCCGCAACUGCCAGGGGGGACCAGGCGGUCAGAGUACCAGCGGCUUUUCCGCCAUUGAGCAGCGGCCG